This 576-nucleotide ribosomal RNA is filed under the name uncultured bacterium. RNAcentral's name for it is "bacterial SSU rRNA". It matches the Rfam family "Bacterial small subunit ribosomal RNA", at positions 102 to 674 of the family's 1533-position model. The record is from RNAcentral.
ACGGGUGAGUAAUACAUCGGAACGUAUCCUGGAGUGGGGGAUAGCCCGGCGAAAGCCGGAUUAAUACCGCAUACGCUCUGAGGAGGAAAGCGGGGGACCUUCGGGCCUCGCGCUCAAGGGGCGGCCGAUGGCGGAUUAGGUAGUUGGUGGGGUAAAGGCCUACCAAGCCGACGAUCCGUAGCUGGUCUGAGAGGACGACCAGCCACAUUGGGACUGAGACACGGCCCAGACUCCUACGGGAGGCAGCAGUGGGGAAUUUUGGACAAUGGGGGCAACCCUGAUCCAGCAAUGCCGCGUGUGUGAAGAAGGCCUUCGGGUUGUAAAGCACUUUUGUCCGGAAAGAAAUCAUCGGGGCCAAUACCCCUGGUGGAUGACGGUACCGGAAGAAUAAGCACCGGCUAACUACGUGCCAGCAGCCGCGGUAAUACGUAGGGUGCGAGCGUUAAUCGGAAUUACUGGGCGUAAAGCGUGCGCAGGCGGUGCUGUAAGACCGAUGUGAAAUCCCCGGGCUUAACCUGGGAACUGCAUUGGUGACUGCAGCGCUGGAGUAUGGCAGAGGGGGGUGGAAUUCCACGU